Molecule: ribosomal RNA, 468 nt
Filed under: uncultured bacterium
Lineage: Bacteria
Description: partial 16S ribosomal RNA
Rfam family: Bacterial small subunit ribosomal RNA
Source: RNAcentral
GACGAACGCUGGCGGCGUGCUUAACACAUGCAAGUCGAACGGAAAGGCCCUGCUUUUGUGGGGUGCUCGAGUGGCGAACGGGUGAGUAACACGUGAGUAACCUGCCCUUGACUUUGGGAUAACUUCAGGAAACUGGGGCUAAUACCGGAUAGGAGCUCCUGCUGCAUGGUGGGGGUUGGAAAGUUUCGGCGGUUGGGGAUGGACUCGCGGCGUAUCAGCUUGUUGGUGGGGUAGUGGCUUACCAAGGCUUUGACGGGUAGCCGGCCUGAGAGGGUGACCGGCCACAUUGGGACUGAGAUACGGCCCAGACUCCUACGGGAGGCAGCGGUGGGGAAUAUUGCACAAUGGGCGGAAGCCUGAUGCAGCAACGCAGCGUGCGGGAUGACGGCCUUCGGGUUGUAAACCGCUUUCGCCUGUGACGAAGCGUGAGUGACGGUAAUGGGUAAAGAAGCACCGGCUAACUACGUG